UAGCCGUAAACGAUACUCGCUAGGUGUCAGGGACGGUGCGACCGUUUCUGGUGCCGCAGGGAAGCCGUGAAGCGAGCCACCUGGGAAGUACGGUCGCAAGGCUGAAACUUAAAGGAAUUGGCGGGGGAGCACUACAACGGGUGGAGCCUGCGGUUUAAUUGGACUCAACGCCGGAAAUCUUACCGGGACCGACAGCAACAUGAAGGCCAAGCUGAAGACUUUGCCGGAUUAGCUGAGAGGAGGUGCAUGGCGUAGUCGUGU
RNAcentral lists this ribosomal RNA (261 nucleotides) under uncultured archaeon. RNAcentral's name for it is "partial 16S ribosomal RNA". It matches the Rfam family "Archaeal small subunit ribosomal RNA", at positions 748 to 1009 of the family's 1478-position model. The record is from RNAcentral.